RNAcentral lists this ribosomal RNA (207 nucleotides) under uncultured bacterium. RNAcentral describes it as "partial 16S ribosomal RNA". It matches the Rfam family "Bacterial small subunit ribosomal RNA", at positions 568 to 774 of the family's 1533-position model. The record is from RNAcentral.
CUCGUAGGUGGUUUGUCGCGUUGUUCGUGAAAACUCACAACUCAAUUGUGGGCGUGCGGGCGAUACGGGCAGACUGCAGUACUGCAGGGGAGACUGGAAUUCCUGGUGUAGCGGUGGAAUGCGCAGAUAUCAGGAGGAACACCGGUGGCGAAGGCGGGUCUCUGGGCAGUAACUGACGCUGAGGAGCGAAAGCGUGGGGAGCGAACA